Molecule: ribosomal RNA, 256 nt
Filed under: uncultured bacterium
Lineage: Bacteria
Description: partial 16S ribosomal RNA
Rfam family: Bacterial small subunit ribosomal RNA
Source: RNAcentral
AAAGGCAAAGACAGUGAUGCAGAGCAAAUCCCCAAAAGCAGUCUUAGUUCGGAUUGUAGGCUGCAACUCGCCUACAUGAAGUCGGAAUUGCUAGUAAUCGCGGAUCAGCAUGCCGCGGUGAAUACGUUCCCGGGCCUUGUACACACCGCCCGUCACACCAUGGGAGUCGGUAACACCCGAAGCCUGUAGUCUAACCGCAAGGAGGACGCAGUCGAAGGUGGGAUUGAUGACUGGGGUGAAGUCGUAACAAGGUACC